GAAGUUGUAGCAACAGUCAGUCAUAACACAGAAAAGACAACGUUUGAUAUAAGCUGUAAGUUACUAAAAUUAUAUCAACAAAUACUUAAAUGAUACAUAUAUCAAACACCCUGUAAAUAAUUCAUAUUUUCAUUUAAUGAUGCCUCUUGAAUUUACGUUAAAGGUACACACAAUUUGACUAUAUAUUGGUCGUCAUAUUGUAUUUUUUCAUAUUCGUAUAUAUCUUUUCUAUUUAAUUUUUUUUACAAUUUAUUAUAUAACUGGAAUAAGAUAUCGGUUCAUGAUACAUUUGUCUAUGCUGGAAAUGUCGUUACAAAAAAAAAACUAGCAAAAUAAUUCAAUCUAACAAAAACAGGCUGCAACAGAAAAUAAAAAAAAUAACGAAGAUAUAUAUAGUGCUAUUUCUUUUAUAUUUUUACUGGCUUCAGCUGAUAAGAAACUCUGAUUUCUAUAAUUCAAUCACAACGUUUGUCAUUGUUUCAAUUUCAUUCCAUUAAAAAAGCAAAACAUAUUAAAAUGAAAACGAAUAUUCAAAGUUGUAAGUCGACAAUAAUGUCAUGGCAAAACAUUUUAUAUCGAUAAAGAAAAAAACGGUAUACAAAAUCGUCAUAAAAAACUAAAGACUGGGUUACACGAAUCCACCGAACACCAGGGUUGUUCGCAAGGUUAGCAUAUUCACAUGAACGUUAAUUCUUCACUCCAAGUGUUUGCGUCCCUUAUAUAUCUUGAGGUAAAAUCUGUGUCACCGCUGCAGAAUUAAUAAUCCAGCUCAAAUCGAUAAAAAUGUUUUGCUAUUUUGUUUUUAUCUAUAAAUCUAUCGUUAAAUUUAAAGUUUUAUUCGUAAAGAAUAUGAUACAUUAAUUCAUAAAGCUGGCUGUAUUUGUGUUCUGUCGUAAGCUAAUUUUUGGUGUUCGUUGUUAUUCUGUGGUUUACAUAUUGAAAUGCUCUAUUAUUUUAUUUAUUUAUGUAGUUCACUGUCCUGAUUCUAUACUGUAUUUCUGAAUUUUUAACAUUGCAAUAAAAUCGGGAGAUUUGACUGGACAUAAAACCAGUUCUUACCACAAUUGUUUCCGUUAAGUGUCCUGUGUCAAGUCAAGAAUUUAGCAGUUGUUGCCAUAAUAUCCGUUUAUAUUUAUAUCACCUCACUCAAAGAUGACUUUUUGGAUAUUAUUUUCAUAAUGUCUAGUGUUGUAAAGCUCUUCAGUUGUCUCGGUUCUUAAAAAAAUCUUGGUUUUUACUUAUUCAGCUUGGAGCGUUCCUGGUAAAUGUGAAUCCUGAAAUCUGCACUAGACUCAUGGAGAAUAAGAUAAAUAUUAAAGAGAAAAUUUAGCAACCAACUACUUAUACCAUUUGACAUUUAAGAAACUGUGUAAUGCUAUUGGAAUUUGAUUAUAGAUUCAACUAUUGCAUUUUUCUAUUAUCACUCAUACAUAGCUCGAGCCUGCUCAUAUUCUAUUUGGAGUUCAUACCCAUGUUGUCCAUUACAGAUACAAUGUAUUGAGCAUGCAAACAUAUAUAUUCAACUUCAUCCUACUUUUAUAUAAUCAGUUUUAUUUAUUGUUUUGUUUAACCCACCAGAUCAAUCAAUAAAAAACACUUAAAAAUAUUAAUCAUAAUUAGUCUUGUAAAAUUGAUGACAAAAUCUUCCAUGUUAUAAUUGUAAACAUUGAAAUAACAUUCAGAAAUGUAAAAUCACAAAAAAAACUGAACUCCGAGGAAAAUUCAAAACGGAAAGUCCUAAGUUCAAAUGGCAAAAACACAUCAAACGAAUUUACAACUGUCAUAUUCCUGACUUGGUACAUGCAUUUUCAAAUGUAGAAAAUGGUGGAUUGAACCUGGUUUUAUAGCGUUAAACCUCUCACGAAGGUUAGAAUGUAUAACAAAUUUAUUUGAUUCUGCUUACUUUUCACUUCUUCCAUUAUUUUCUUUCAGAUCAGUUGGAAACAUCCGCAAUUGAAAAGUUUUUGAUAUUAAUAUGCGUAUUAAUGUGGUCGAAACAUGUACAACUGCACAAUGAAGGUCAAGAAGAUUAUUGUUGCCGGAGCAUUUUGAGGCAGUUAACACUAUGCUUGAUAUCAUGCAUCCCUACGUAAUUACAACAUAAUGUUUAUGAUUACAUACGUUCUCUUACCUACUAUCAUUUGCUUUUUUUGAAGGUUUCGUAGGUUAAAAAAAGUGUUUUGUUUUUUUUUCCCGUCCAUGGCUUUAUUUUUUAGUGUUGAGAGUUACGAGCAGCAUAUGCAAUUGAAUGAACUACACACAAUAGUUUUAAGAAAAUAAUUCAGAAAUUAUUUAGCAGAAAAAUACUAUCCUCGACUGCAUGUGGGAUUUCCAUUUCCCAUCUCAUUCGGUUUUUCAAGAGCAUGCAGCUGCUACUCUGACUUUGUGAAACAUCACUUGUGUCGUAGCAGGAUGAGAACCAGGAACCAUGUCAAAGAAC
RNAcentral lists this long non-coding RNA (2440 nucleotides) under Mytilus galloprovincialis (Mediterranean mussel). The record is from RNAcentral. Lineage: Eukaryota; Metazoa; Mollusca; Bivalvia; Mytilida; Mytilidae.